RNAcentral lists this ribosomal RNA (206 nucleotides) under uncultured bacterium. Its description in RNAcentral is "partial 16S ribosomal RNA". It matches the Rfam family "Bacterial small subunit ribosomal RNA", at positions 568 to 774 of the family's 1533-position model. The record is from RNAcentral.
AGCGUAGAUGGAUGUUUAAGUCAGUUGUGAAAGUUUGCGGCUCAACCGUAAAAUUGCAGUUGAUACUGGAUAUCUUGAGUGCAGUUGAGGCAGGCGGAAUUCGUGGUGUAGCGGUGAAAUGCUUAGAUAUCACGAAGAACUCCGAUUGCGAAGGCAGCCUGCUAAGCUGCAACUGACAUUGAGGCUCGAAAUGUGGGUAUCAAACA